AAAUAUUAUCGAAAAUUAUUUUUUAAUUUUAUUUUUUUUUGUCUUUGUUUAGUCGUAAUUCUUUUUUAAAAAUAUUAUUUUUAUAAGUUCGAGAAAAAUGAUGUUUUUAGUUUCGAGUUUCCGUUUUCUAUUUAUUUUCGGCCGAAAACAAAAACUCAAGCUGCUAUAAAUUUUUUCGUUCAUUUUUUCACACAAAAUUAAAUAAAUAUUUUUUUUUUCUUUCAACCAAACAAAUAUUGGUUUUCUAUAAACCAAACAUUACGAAACCUAAACUUUUUUUUUCCACCAAAUAUUUUUUCAUGAAAAAUUAUUUUUCACCCUUUUACAUACACCAAACACUUCCUAAGCAUACAAUAUGAAUUUCCUUUUCCCCAUUAUAAUUUUUAAUUUAAAGGUUAAAAUACUAAUUAUACAAUUUUUAAAACUUU
RNAcentral lists this long non-coding RNA (428 nucleotides) under Ananas comosus (pineapple). RNAcentral's name for it is "long non-coding RNA (ACOM_LNC025667)". The record is from RNAcentral. Lineage: Eukaryota; Viridiplantae; Streptophyta; Magnoliopsida; Poales; Bromeliaceae.